Molecule: long non-coding RNA, 222 nt
Filed under: Homo sapiens (human)
Lineage: Eukaryota; Metazoa; Chordata; Mammalia; Primates; Hominidae
Description: HSALNT0353665
Source: RNAcentral
UGUGGUGUGUAUGUGUGGUGUGUGUGAUGUGUGUGUGUGUGUGAGGUGUGUGUUUGGUGUUUGUGGAGUGUAUGUAUGUGAUAUGUGUGUGGAGUGUAUGUGUAUGGUGUGUGUGAUGUGUGUAGUAUGUGAGGUGUGUGUGUGGUGCAUGUUUGCGGUGUGUGGUGUGUGAUGUGUGUGGUGUAUGUGUGUGGUAUGUGAGGUGUGUGUGUGGUGUUUGUG